RNAcentral lists this ribosomal RNA (1045 nucleotides) under Gaeumannomyces graminis. RNAcentral describes it as "partial small subunit ribosomal RNA". It matches the Rfam family "Eukaryotic small subunit ribosomal RNA", at positions 58 to 1115 of the family's 1831-position model. The record is from RNAcentral. Lineage: Eukaryota; Fungi; Ascomycota; Sordariomycetes; Magnaporthales; Magnaporthaceae.
UAUAAGUUUAAGCAAUUAUACAGCGAAACUGCGAAUGGCUCAUUAAAUCAGUUAUCGUUUAUUUGAUAGUACCUUACUACAUGGAUAACCGUGGUAAUUCUAGAGCUAAUACAUGCUGAAAACCCCGACUUCGGAAGGGGUGUAUUUAUUAGAUUAAAANCCAAUGCCCUUCGGGGCUCACUGGUGAUUCAUGAUAACUUCUCGAAUCGCACGGCCUUGCGCCGGCGAUGGUUCAUUCAAAUUUCUGCCCUAUCAACUUUCGACGGCUGGGUCUUGGCCAGCCGUGGUGACAACGGGUAACGGAGGGUUAGGGCUCGACCCCGGAGAAAACGCCUGAGAAACGGCGUUUACAUCCAAGGAAGGCAGCAGGCGCGCAAAUUACCCAAUGCCGACACGGCGAGGUAGUGACGAGAAAUACUGAUACAGGGCUCUUUUGGGUCUUGUAAUUGGAAUGAGUACAAUUUAAAUCUCUUAACGAGAACANUGGANGNNNNNNNNNNNNNNNNNNNNNNGCGGUNAUUNAGCUCCAAUAGCGUAUAUUAAAGUUGUUGCAGUUAAAAAGCUCGUAGUUGAACCUUGGGCCUGGCUGGCCGGUCCGCCUCACCGCGUGCACUGGUCCGGCCGGGCCUUUCCCUCUGGGGAGCCCCAUGCCCUUUACUGGGCGUGGCGGGGAACCAGGACUUUUACUUUGAAAAAAUUAGAGUGUUCAAAGCAGGCCUAUGCUCGAAUACAUUAGCAUGGAAUAAUAGAAUAGGACGUGUGGUUCUAUUUUGUUGGNUUCUAGGACCGCCGUAAUGAUUAAUAGGGACAGUCGGGGGCGUCAGUAUUCAAUUGUCAGAGGUGAAAUUCUUGGAUUUAUUGAAGACUAACUACUGCGAAAGCAUUCGUCAAGGAUGUUUUCAUUAAUCAGGAACGAAAGUUAGGGGAUCGAAAACGAUCAGAUACCGUUGUAGUCUUAACCAUAAACUAUGCCGACUUGGGAUCGGGCGGUGUUAUUUUUUGACCCGCUCGGCACCAUACACGAAAGUACAAGUUUCUGGGUUCU